CUAUGGAUUUCACAUGACUGGGAAUACAGAUAUGCAUCUGUUCGUCACAGAUUCCUUAAAAAAAGGUAGGGGCGUGGAUCAGAAAACCAGUCAGUAUCUGGUGUGACCACCAUUUGCCUCAUGCAGCAUUAUGCCUGCCCACACCAUAACCCUACAGCCAACACGAUGCCAUAUACUUGGUCUGUGGUUGUGAGGCCGGUUGGACAUACUGCCAAAUUCUCUAAAACGACAUUGAAGGCGGCUUAUGCAAUUGUCAAUGAUCAAGAAUCCUGCCGAACAGAGAGUGUAUGCUCCACCAAGAAGAAACCAAGGAAGCGUUCGCUCAUUUCCAGGAUGUUUUCAGCUAUAGGCAAA
Molecule: long non-coding RNA, 354 nt
Organism: Oncorhynchus tshawytscha (Chinook salmon)
Lineage: Eukaryota; Metazoa; Chordata; Actinopteri; Salmoniformes; Salmonidae
Source: Ensembl